CACACACACACACACAUGCAUUAUUCCCAGAAAACCUCAGUGCAUUUGUCCUCAUUCUUUCACAAGGACAGGUCCCUCCACUUCCUCCCCCUCUUCAGAUAAGGUUAGGGGAAUAAAAGGAAUGCAAGAGGCGUUGAGGACACAUUACCGUACAGCCUCUGCUAGCUUUCAGUAUCUCUGUUGGUUUAUCUUCUACCUUCAUCAUGUACAAGAUCUUCCUGAUGGCAGCUUUCAUGGGCUGCCUUCUCCCUGGGGUACUGGCAAUCUGUGAACCAAACUGUAAAGGGAAGAAACCUGGUGACAAGGUUGAAGACCCCAAAGACUGCAAAAGGUACUACAUUUGCAUGAGCGGUGAAGUCCCUUCCGACGUUUCCGUCCCGUGCGAUCCUGGUAACAUUUUUGAUCCACAUCUAGAGGUUUGUUCACCUGGCGACACGUGCAUGGCCAGCUGUGUCCCACCUAACUGUCACCUGACCUGUACUGAGCAGGUUGAUCUCAUUUCUGACCCCUUUGACUGUAGCGUGUACUGGAUGUGUCUGGCAGGUCAAGUUGUGGGCGAUUCAAAACGUUGUGAGUCCGACGCACCGUAUUUCAAUGGGAAAUUUUGUGUGCAGGAUAAAUCCCAGUGUUGCAGUGAGCUAUGCACACCAUACUGCUACAAGGAUGUUUAUCAGAUACCCGACCCUACAAACUGCACGGCGUUUUACAUCUGCGAGAAAGAGGGAGUGCCCAGUGAAGCCUACCACUUUUCCUGUAAAAAUAAUGAGAUAUUUGAUAUCACUCUGGGCCGAUGUACUCCAGACGCGCAGUGCAGGCCCCUGUGUGAUGAUGGAACUGGUAACAUUGAGCCACCCGAACCAAAUACGUCCAGUACCACCACCACCACAAAUAAUCCAGGUGGAUGUAAGGACACCAUGAUUUGCAUCAGUAGUGGAUUUUUUGCACAAUGCACCACGUGUCAGCCCGGUUACUUUGAUUGUAAGGGAGCGGGGCAACAGGGCACCCUUCACAUGUGUCCUAACGGUAAAGUCUUCAAUACAAAUCCUAGCGCUCCUUUCUGCCUCCCUCCUGAAAGCUGUCCCUUUGAUCCUUAACCUCUAAACACCCACAAAGCUGUAAACCCAUCAACUAUGCUGGAGAUUUUUAAAUUCUUUAUUUUCCUAAAACUAUUUUCAUUAAUAUAUAAACAUAAAAAAACUCAAGAAAAUAAGGAUAGGUGCAAAAAUCCAUCAGGCCUAUAGAUGGCAGUCUCUCUCUAUGAAACAUGGCUACCUCUUUCCGAAUAUCAUUCUCAUCCAUAAUUUUAUCUAAUCUUCCUUUAGAGCUCUAUAUUGAUGUAACACUAACAACCUGAUUACUGAGUCUAUUCCUUUCAUUUACCAUUCUGUUUAAGAAAUAAUUCCUUCUUAUCUCUUUAAAAUCUAACUUUUCAAAUUUGAACUCAUUAUUUCUUAUUCUACCCUUACUACCGAUCCUGAUAAUUUUGCUUAUAUUAUCUUUGUUAUAUCUACUAUACCACCUAAAGACCUCUAUCAAGUCCUCUCUUAACCUACACCUCUCAUAUUUGUUAAGUACCUGCACAUACCAAGUGAGUGGCAGAGGAGAAGGGAAGCUGGCAAGGUCAAAGCCUCUUAACUACUUGCGUUAUAAACAUGAAGGUUUCUCUCACAUAUUUAUGCUGGUUUGAAUUUUUAAAGUGAUACACAUAUGCACACUACAUAAGUUGAAAUAUUUCAGUCAAAAAUGACUAAAUUUAUAUUGGUAUAGAUUUAUUUGAAUUUGUUGUUUGGAAGUGAGUUUUAAGUUGUAAUAAUAAUAAGUAUUUAUUUUCCAAUAAUUGAUUUAUAUGUACGUUGUAUGAAUGAAUGAGUAUACGCAGCAUUUUUGAUAAGAUGUUGCCUUUGAUUCAUCCUUCUUCUUUGUGUUCGCCUUAUUUUAUUCUACAGCCUUCACUCUUCCACCCUUUCCAAUAGCAAGCUCUGAAACUUGCACUAUUACUCUAAAGCAAGAGAUAGCUAAUACCUUCACUCUCACACUCUUCCAAUGGCAAGUAUUGGACUCGGGCUUUUUAUAUUUUUUUUUUCACUCUUGCUUUGUUCUCCUUUACAUAAAAAAAAAUAAAUAAAUAAAAAUAAAAUAAAUAAAUAAAAAUAUCUAUCUAUAUACCAUUCUGUCAGCCUGUCCUGUCUGUCCUGUCAGCCCUUAAUGGAAAGGGAUGGUCUCGUGGACAACCCUAGUACACCCUAAUAAUGUCAAUAAUGAUAAUAGACUAGUAGAAUAAAGGCAAAAUGAAGGUUAAAUUAAAGAUUAAAAGUGCAAUGCCUACGAAUCUAUUAAUUUGUAAAUAAGAUCUACGUUAUUUUAUUAUUAUUAUUAUUACUAUUAUUAUUAUUAUUAUUAUUAUUAUUGUUAUUAUUAUUAGUAGUAGUAAUAGUAGUAGUAGUAGUAGUAGUAGUACUAGUAGUAGUAGUAGUAGUAGUAGUAGUAGUAGUAGUAGUAGUAGUAGUAGUAGUAGUAUUGUUAUUAUUAUUAUUAUUGUUAUGAUGAUGAUGAUGGUGAUCAUGAUACAUUGAAAUUAUACGCUUUAUGCUUUGGCUUUGUUCAUCUUUCACUUGUAACCACAAGCAAGAGUGGUGCGAGUGAAGGAUUUCAGCAAGAAUGGAAGGCACAGUCCACAAGAAGGUAGUGAGGCGUCCGUGUUGUAUAACAUGGAGACAGCAGUAAUGACAGAAAGGCAGAGACGAGACUGGGAAGAGAUAAGGAGUGCAUGGGGAGGUGGAUGUUGGAGGUCGGCUAAUAUAUCUUUUUACUUUUUUUUUUCUAUUCUGUCCAUCUCCCUAAUGCAAAAAUUAAUCCGCAUUCUCUAGCAUUUAUCCAUAUUCUGGUAAACUCUAGAAUUCCCUGCCUGCUUCUGUAUUUGCUCCUUCCUACGACUUGAACUCUUUGAUGAAGGAUUCAAGACACUUAACCUCUAAUUAUAGAUGAUUAUUUUUUUUACCUUUUUUUUAGAGACAAACACCUCGGAAUGCCUUUUUUUGUUUUUCGUUUUUUUUUUUUUUUUUUUUUUUAGCCCAAGCCAGUGUUUUUAAUACAUACAAAUAAAAAUAAAUAAAUAAAAUAACAUAUUAUCAGUGCUGGGAAGUAUUUGUAAUGACUGGAUGAAGAACUUACAUUUUCCAUUACAAAACACGAGAAAUUACUGUAUUACAGAUAUCAGAGGUGGACGUGGCAUGACCGGUGUUCUGCUUUGUGACUAUUACCACGUUCUGCCACAUCACACAUCAUAAUCCCACAAAAAUGAAUUAUGUUCUAUAUCUAUUAUAUACCAGGGUGACAAUUCAUAUGGAUAAUCACCUAAUAAAUAGCAUCACAACCCCUAACAGAAGCAAUUAAAAGAUUAGUUAGGAUUUUUGGGCAAGACAGAGAGGCCACCAAACAUCAUGUAGCAUGGAGAACAGGCAUAACAUAAACAAAGCUGACACAUGUAAGCUUGCCUCUUUAACUCUUCCAUUAUCGACUGUCCUCCCAUAUGUAAGCAAUGGGUUUCUGUGCAUCACCGACGCCCCACCCAUUCCUCCACAUCGUGCAUAGAUAGUUUCCAACUCGUUACCAAAUCACUUCUAUUCACAAUAUCGCAUUUAUGAUUAUGUCGUCUGUCACAUAAACCCUCAGUAAAAGGAAGAUUUGGAA
This is a long non-coding RNA of Scylla paramamosain (green mud crab), 3690 nucleotides long. RefSeq lists it as uncharacterized. NCBI's taxonomy places the organism in Eukaryota, Metazoa, Arthropoda, Malacostraca, Decapoda, Portunidae. The transcript has 2 exons. The record is from RefSeq and is a predicted model, not a curated record.